GGAAGGUUAGUCCAAGCAAGACCUCUGAUUUCGGCUCAGAGAAUCACGGUUAGAAUCCAUGACCUUCUU
Molecule: transfer RNA, 69 nt
Filed under: Narcetes erimelas
Lineage: Eukaryota; Metazoa; Chordata; Actinopteri; Alepocephaliformes; Alepocephalidae
Description: tRNA-Arg
Rfam family: tRNA
About the family: Transfer RNA (tRNA) molecules are approximately 80 nucleotides in length. Their secondary structure includes four short double-helical elements and three loops (D, anti-codon, and T loops).
Source: RNAcentral